Molecule: long non-coding RNA, 276 nt
Filed under: Elaeis guineensis (African oil palm)
Lineage: Eukaryota; Viridiplantae; Streptophyta; Magnoliopsida; Arecales; Arecaceae
Description: long non-coding RNA (EGUI_LNC040708)
Source: RNAcentral
UACUGGAUAUUCUUCAUAUGAUAGAUCUUUUCUAGCCCGCAAGGGUUCAAGUUCCACGAUGUGAUUUGGAUCUGGUAAAUAUUUCUUUAACAUAAAAAUAUGAAAAAUAUUAUGUACUCCUGCAAGUGAAGGUGGUAAGGCAAGUCUAUACACCACCUCACCAAUUCUUUCUAAAAUCUCAAACAGACCCACAUAUCUAGGAUUCAAUUUGCCACGAAUGCCAAAUCUUAAGAUUCCUUUUGAAGGAGACACUUUGAGAAAUACAUGGUCACCAAU